GACGAACGCUGGCGGCGUGCUUAACACAUGCAAGUCGAACGGUGAAGCCUUUCGGGGUGGAUCAGUGGCGAACGGGUGAGUAACACGUGAGCAAUCUGCCCUUGACUCUGGGAUAACGUUCGGGAAACCGGAGCUAAUACCGGAUAUGACAUACGGCCGCAUGGUCUGUGUGUGGAAAGUAUUUAUUGGUCAGGGAUGAGCUCGCGGCCUAUCAGCUUGUUGGNGGGGUAAUGGCCUACCAAGGCGACGACGGGUAGCCGGCCUGAGAGGGCGACCGGCCACACUGGGACUGAGACACGGCCCAGACUCCUACGGGAGGCAGCAGGUGGGGAAUAUUGGACAAUGGGCGCAAGCCUGAUCCAGCCAUGCCGCGUGAGUA
This 379-nucleotide ribosomal RNA is filed under the name uncultured bacterium. Its description in RNAcentral is "bacterial SSU rRNA". It matches the Rfam family "Bacterial small subunit ribosomal RNA", at positions 28 to 407 of the family's 1533-position model. The record is from RNAcentral.